GGUUAAGCGACUAAGCGUACACGGUGGAUGCCCUGGCAGUCAGAGGCGAUGAAGGACGUGCUAAUCUGCGAAAAGCGUCGGUAAGGUGAUAUGAACCGUUAUAACCGGCGAUGUCCGAAUGGGGAAACCCAGUGCAAUUCGUUGCACUAUCGUUAACUGAAUACAUAGGUUAACGAGGCGAACCGGGGGAACUGAAACAUCUAAGUACCCCGAGGAAAAGAAAUCAACCGAGAUUCCCCCAGUAGCGGCGAGCGAACGGGGAGCAGCCCAGAGUCUGAAUCAGCUUGUGUGUUAGUGGAACGGUCUGGAAAGUCCGACGGUACAGGGUGAUAGUCCCGUACACCAAAAUGCACAGGUUGUGAACUCGAAGAGUAGGGCGGGACACGUGGUAUCCUGUCUGAAUAUGGGGGGACCAUCCUCCAAGGCUAAAUACUCCUGACUGACCGAUAGUGAACCAGUACCGUGAGGGAAAGGCGAAAAGAACCCCGGCGAGGGGAGUGAAAAAGAACCUGAAACCGUGUACGUACAAGCAGUGGGAGCACCUUCGGGUGUGACUGCGUACCUUUUGUAUAAUGGGUCAGCGACUUAUAUUCUGUAGCAAGGUUAACCGUAUAGGGGAGCCGCAGGGAAACCGAGUCUUAACUGGGCGUUAAGUUGCAGGGUAUAGACCCGAAACCCGGUGAUCUAGCCAUGGGCAGGUUGAAGGUUGGGUAACACUAACUGGAGGACCGAACCGACUAAUGUUGAAAAAUUAGCGGAUGACUUGUGGCUGGGGGUGAAAGGCCAAUCAAACCGGGAGAUAGCUGGUUCUCCCCGAAAGCUAUUUAGGUAGCGCCUCGUGAACUCAUCUUCGGGGGUAGAGCACUGUUUCGGCUAGGGGGUCAUCCCGACUUACCAACCCGAUGCAAACUACGAAUACCGAAGAAUGUUAUCACGGGAGACACACGGCGGGUGCUAACGUCCGUCGUGAAGAGGGAAACAACCCAGACCGCCAGCUAAGGUCCCAAAGUCAUGGUUAAGUGGGAAACGAUGUGGGAAGGCACAGACAGCCAGGAUGUUGGCUUAGAAGCAGCCAUCAUUUAAAGAAAGCGUAAUAGCUCACUGGUCGAGUCGGCCUGCGCGGAAGAUGUAACGGGGCUAAACCAUGCACCGAAGCUGCGGCAGCGACACUAUGUGUUGUUGGGUAGGGGAGCGUUCUGUAAGCCUGCGAAGGUGUGCUGUGAGGCAUGCUGGAGGUAUCAGAAGUGCGAAUGCUGACAUAAGUAACGAUAAAGCGGGUGAAAAGCCCGCUCGCCGGAAGACCAAGGGUUCCUGUCCAACGUUAAUCGGGGCAGGGUGAGUCGACCCCUAAGGCGAGGCCGAAAGGCGUAGUCGAUGGGAAACAGGUUAAUAUUCCUGUACUUGGUGUUACUGCGAAGGGGGGACGGAGAAGGCUAUGUUAGCCGGGCGACGGUUGUCCCGGUUUAAGCAUGUAGGCUGGUUAUCCAGGCAAAUCCGGAUAAUCAAGGCUGAGGUGUGAUGACGAGGCACUACGGUGCUGAAGUAACAAAUGCCCUGCUUCCAGGAAAAGCCUCUAAGCAUCAGGUAACAUUAAAUCGUACCCCAAACCGACACAGGUGGUCAGGUAGAGAAUACCAAGGCGCUUGAGAGAACUCGGGUGAAGGAACUAGGCAAAAUGGUGCCGUAACUUCGGGAGAAGGCACGCUGGUGUGUAGGUGAAGUCCCUGCGGAUGGAGCUGAGACCAGUCGAAGAUACCAGCUGGCUGCAACUGUUUAUUAAAAACACAGCACUGUGCAAACACGAAAGUGGACGUAUACGGUGUGACGCCUGCCCGGUGCCGGAAGGUUAAUUGAUGGGGUUAUCCGUAAGGAGAAGCUCUUGAUCGAAGCCCCGGUAAACGGCGGCCGUAACUAUAACGGUCCUAAGGUAGCGAAAUUCCUUGUCGGGUAAGUUCCGACCUGCACGAAUGGCGUAAUGAUGGCCAGGCUGUCUCCACCCGAGACUCAGUGAAAUUGAACUCGCUGUGAAGAUGCAGUGUACCCGCGGCAAGACGGAAAGACCCCGUGAACCUUUACUAUAGCUUGACACUGAACAUUGAGCCUUGAUGUGUAGGAUAGGUGGGAGGCUUUGAAGCGUGGACGCCAGUCUGCGUGGAGCCAACCUUGAAAUACCACCCUUUAAUGUUUGAUGUUCUAACGUUGGCCCCUUACCGGGGUUGCGGACAGUGUCUGGUGGGUAGUUUGACUGGGGCGGUCUCCUCCCAAAGCGUAACGGAGGAGCACGAAGGUUAGCUAAUCCUGGUCGGACAUCAGGAGGUUAGUGCAAUGGCAUAAGCUAGCUUGACUGCGAGCGUGACGGCGCGAGCAGGUGCGAAAGCAGGUCAUAGUGAUCCGGUGGUUCUGAAUGGAAGGGCCAUCGCUCAACGGAUAAAAGGUACUCCGGGGAUAACAGGCUGAUACCGCCCAAGAGUUCAUAUCGACGGCGGUGUUUGGCACCUCGAUGUCGGCUCAUCACAUCCUGGGGCUGAAGUAGGUCCCAAGGGUAUGGCUGUUCGCCAUUUAAAGUGGUACGCGAGCUGGGUUUAGAACGUCGUGAGACAGUUCGGUCCCUAUCUGCCGUGGGCGCUGGAGAAUUGAGGGGGGCUGCUCCUAGUACGAGAGGACCGGAGUGGACGCAUCACUGGUGUUCGGGUUGUCAUGCCAAUGGCACUGCCCGGUAGCUAAAUGCGGAAGAGAUAAGUGCUGAAAGCAUCUAAGCACGAAACUUGCCCCGAGAUGAGUUCUCCCUGAGACUAUAAGUCUCCUGAAGGAACGUUAAAGACGAUGACGUUGAUAGGCCGGGUGUGUAAGCGCAGCGAUGCGUUGAGCUAACCGGUACUAAUGAACCGUGAGGCUUAACCUU
Molecule: ribosomal RNA, 2902 nt
Filed under: Klebsiella pneumoniae
Lineage: Bacteria; Pseudomonadati; Pseudomonadota; Gammaproteobacteria; Enterobacterales; Enterobacteriaceae
Description: 23S ribosomal RNA
Rfam family: Bacterial large subunit ribosomal RNA
Source: RNAcentral